AGCGCAGCAUGGGACAAAGUACACAGUCACCCUGGUUAAAAAAUAAUUAAGGGCUGGGUCUAUCAAGCAAACUUAAAGAUGAACUUCCUGAAACAAGAGAGAAGACUCCUACCAUUCCCAAGAGAUUCUGAUUCAAGAUGAAACCCCGAGUUAUAAUCUUUAUUUACUUCGGAGGACCCAUAUUGCACUUUGUGAAAUGUUACAGCAAUGGUAAUUUUGACAACGAUCCAGAUAUAUGUCAAACAAUGGAAGUUCGUCACGGCAACAAUCAGCCUCAGGACACUGAACCACCUUUUAAAGUUGACCCAGAUAAUAUCACUGUUGAUCUUCUAGAUGUGGGAAAAUCCUUUGAUGUAACACUGAAAGCUGACAGCGGUGAAACAUUCAGAGGUUUUAUGCUGGAAGCACGAAAAUCAGGCAACCCAACACCUCAGGGGAUUUUUUCUCUGUUGGACCCAAACCUCAGCAGACUUCAGCAAUGCGAUGGUAUAAAUGGUAAAGCUGUCACACAAACAAAUAACCAACGAAAGGCUGAAGUAAAGGUCAAAUGGAAUGUUUCUGAAACUGGAGUAUAUUUUUUCAGGGCUACAUUCGUUAAGAGUUAUAGUACAUUCUGGCUUGCUUCCUCAACCCCGGUAACAACCUCUACACCAGCCCCUGUAACAACAACCACCGUAAUGACAUCAACAUCAGCGAUAUCAACAUCACCAUCACCAUCAACAUCAACACCAACAUCAACAUCAACAACAUUAUCCUCAGACCCUGUAACAACAACCACCGUAAUGAUAUCAACAUCAACGAUAUCAACAUCAACAUCAACGGCAUCAACAUCAACAUCAACAACAUUAUCCUCAGUCACAACAACUGCUCCACCACAAACCUUUUUGGAGACGACAGUCUAGUGCCUCCCAGGCCUAUGCAUCAAAAAUGUGUCUCUAGCGGUAGGUGGCAAAAAUUGUUGUUGUUGUUUUUUUUUAAACCAAACUCUGGCAAUAACAUUUGAACCAGACAAAAUGCAGUCCUGCUGCAACUGUGCAACUGUGCCUUUACAUCUCUCUCUUCAGUUAUUGUUCAAAUGUCAAAUUGGGAAAAUGUGAUUUCCGUGACUGGUUUGGGUAUUUCCAAAAGUGCUAAUAUCUUGGGAUUUUCACCCACAACAGUCUCUAGAGUUUACAAGAAAAACACAAAAACAAUAAACACCUUGUUGAUGAGAGAGGUCACACUGGUUCCAUGUGACAGGCAGGCUAUGGUAACUCAAAUAAUCUUUACACUCCUACUCUUUACAACCAUGGUGAGCAGAAAAGCAUCUCAGAAUGCACAGCAAGUGGAAUCUUGAGACGGAUUGGCAGAACAUUAUAACAGGCUUCACGUCUGUCAGCCAAGAACAGGAAUCUUACAGUAAGCACAGGCUCACCUAAACUUGACAUUUGAAGAUUGGAAAAACAUCACCCGGUCUUUUUCCAGUCUUCAACUGUCCAGUUUGAGGGAGCCUGUGUCCCCUGUGUUUCCUUCGAUUCCUGUUCUUGCACUGCUGCUGUUAUUGUGCUGCUGCUGCCACAUGAUUUGCUGAUUGGAUAAUUGCAUGAAAGGGUAAGUGUACAGGUAUUCCUAAUAAAGUGGGCAGUGUGUAUAUACACAGCAGCAUGUAGAAAACUGUGAGCCUUUGGCUUCUAGGGUAUUGUCAGAAUUUUGCAUUAAUAGUGUUAGUUGUGUUGGCUCAGUGGUGUCACAGAACAGAAGGCUAUGUGUUCAAAUCCCAGCAGCACCAGUCUGCCAUGAUUGGGUCCUAGAGCAAGAUCCUUCAGCUCAGUUAUAUCCUGGAUUGAAGAAAUGUAUUGGAUUAAGUGUUACUUUAUACCAUGUAAGAUAUUACAGCUCUUUACUGUAAUUAUGUUUUACAGUUGUUUACUGUACAUUUUAUAGCACUUUACUAGCAACUCAGGUUGCCAGUAAAUUACUGCAAAAUUUACAGCAUACCAUAAAAAGAGAAGGCAAUUCAUGUAGGAAAGAAGAUAUUGUAGGGAAUCACAUCCACAAUAAGCUGUUGAUGCAAUAAUAACAUUAGGUGGGACUUUAAGCUUUUUUCCCUCAUUGUUUCUUCCUGGGAACUCAGAGGGAAGCAGAAAGCUAAGCAAGAAAGAUAGCGAAUAUUAAUUUCAGCAUUUCCAUUGAUAUCAAAUUCAGUGGUGAAAAGGGAAGAGCAUAUUUAUUUGUUAUGUUUGACAUUUACAAUCUCAAAGCAAUAAUAAGCACAAACAGGCCAGUCCAAAAGUAUUAUUUAUGUUCAUGAUCAUCUCAGCAUGCUGACAUUAUGUCAUUAGUGUGUCAUUAGUAGUUAUGUAGUACUUUGAUUUGCUAUUUUGAUUGGGUGUCCCAAUUUAAGAAAUUAAUGCAGAAAAUCAGAAAGUUUUUUGUAUUGACAAUGUAUUGUGUAUUUAUAACUUUUCCUGGUUAAUAAUCAUUCUCUCGCUCUGUAUCUUAGUUUGAGUCAUCUCUAACUCUACAUUUGCUCAGUUACCUUUCUCUUGCUGAGUGUGGUCUUUUCCUAAUGAAAACCCAUGUAUGUGCAUGGAUGAAGGUAAAAUCUAUAAUUCUUCUACAAUAUUCUUUAAAUAUUUUUACUUUAAACAUCAGGACAUAUGCAUUCCACAUCCAACAAAUUAUUUAGCCCAAGUACACAGUAUAAAUAAACAUUAAAAAUACAUUACAUGCAAAAUGAUUCUUUUACAUACACAGAAAUUCAAAAACUCUUUUUUACAGGUGACAUCAUUUCUGUCUUUGGCAUUUUCAUUGGCUGCUUUCAUCCUCUUACUGAUAGAUAACAAACAAGUAAGAAUAUUUUUUCCUAAAUUUAUUCCAGCUAGUUCUAGGUGUCAGACUGGUAUAUUCUUUCAGCCCCAUUUGUCCAAUCUCCAAUUAAUCUGCCACAUCAACUUUAAAUAAUGUAUAGUCAUAAUUCAAGAUUUGGGAAAUACACAAAGGUUACUAUUAACAAUAUACUAUAUCAUAGAUGCACUAAAUACAAAAACACAAAACAAGAAAUAAUUACCUAUAGUAAGCUCAUCAGAUGUCAAAGAUCAUGUGUUCACUUAUGUUAAGCCAUAAUAAUGUCCAGUAACAUUCAUGUUGAAAAUUCAAUUCGAUGGUCUUUCCAUCUAUGUGUAUUUGUCUGUGUGUGUACAUGAAUCUGUACAUGUAUAGGUUGAGGGCAAAAUACUGGCAGGAGUGGCAGCAAGCCUGAACUUGUGCCAAACUAUUCUAAUAUUCUUUCUCUGUGGACCGAGCCAUGAAUUAAGGAAGAUUUUCUGCUGGGUGCUCAGAGUGGUUGCAUCCAUAAACUUUUGUUUUACAAUUGCUGCAAUAUAUGUUGGUCUUGUGGAGGAUUGUUCCAAAAACCCCUGCUUCUGGCCUGCCAUACUGAUGGGAGUUUAUUUAGCAUGCCAAUUGCUGUCAUGUCCAUUUUUUUUAUAUGGCAUACUAAAACAAAAGAACCGACAACAAACUGCAUCAAGCAAACAGAAUUGCAGGGUUUCUUACUGGUGUACAUGCCUGGUAAUUUUUAGUGGGAUGAAUAUAGCAUUUACUAUAGCACUUGUAUUAGGAAUAUUUUUGUGCCAUUGUACGACUGAUACCUGAAGAGUCAAAGACCAUCAUAUUUUAAUUAUGUGUAUAAUUUUUUACUUAUUUGUUACUUUUCUACAUCAAUAAUUUCAAGCUGUCUCCAUUUAGUAUGUACAGGAUAUAUAUUGGCUUUCUGAGAUUUGGUUCUGAAUGUGUUUUCACAUCAUAUAUUCUUAUAUAUCAUAUCUUAUUAAUGUAUUAUUCCUGUUAUCAAUGCUUAAUAUCAAUGUAGAUUUUGAUUUUGUAUUUGUAGAGAAAUAUAUAUCUUUAUUCUGAAAAGAGAGAAUCUACAGUCCCCUCCGAAAGUAUUGGAAUGGCAAGGCCAAUUUUUUACUUAUUUAUUUAUUUUUUGCUGUACACUGAAAACGUUUGACAUCAAAAAAUAAAAUAUGAGAUGAUAGAUCAGAAUUUCAGCACCAAUAUGAUUUCCAGAUAUUUAAAUCUAGACGUGUUAAACAACUUAAAACAUGGCACCAUGUAACUGACAGGAGUUUCUUGUUGUCCAGAUGUGUCCUGUUAGAUUGACUGUUUAAACAGUUUUGAGCUUGGUUUGAGCCCUGGGUUUCGCCUGUGAAGACUGCAUUUGUUGUUAAAAAGGAUAAACCAACAUAAAGACCAGAGAGCUAUCAAUGGGAGAAAAGCAAGCAAUUUUGAAGCUGAGAAAAGAGGAAAAAAUCAAUCAGAGCCAUUGCACAAGCAUUGGGCACAGCCAGUACAACAAUUUGGAGUGUCCUGAAAAAGAAAGGAACCACUGGUGUACUAACAACCAGACAUCGAACAGGUCAGCCAAGGAAAACAACAGCAGUUGAUGACAGAAACAUUGUGAGAGCUGUGAAUAAAAGCCCCAAAACAACAGUCAGUCAGUCAGUGACAUCACCAACAACCUUCACAAGGCAAGGGUGAUGGUAUCACAAUCCACCGUUCAAAGAAGACUUCGAGAGCAGAAAUCUAGAGGCCAUACCACAAUAUGCAAACCACGCAUCAGCAGUAAGAAUCAGAAGACCAGAUUAGAUUUUGUAAACAAAAAAAAAAAAAAAAAAAAAAAAACAGAGAUGAGCCACAAAAGUUCUGAAGCCAAGACUAACAUCUACCAAAGUGAUGGAAAGGCCAAGGUUUGGAGAAAGAAAGGAUAUGUUCAUGAUCCAAAACAUGCAAGCUCAUCGGUCAAGCAUGGUGGAGGUAGUGUCAUGGUUUGGGCUUGCAUGGCUGCUUCUGGAAUGGGCUCACUAAUCUUUAUUGAUGAUGUAACUCACGAUGGUAGCAGCAGAAUGAAUUCAGAAGUCUACAAAACAUUUUGUCUGCCAAUUUACAGAGAAAUGCAUCCAAUCUAAUUGGGAGGAAAUUCAUCAUGCAUCAAGACAAUGACCCAAAACACACUGCCAAAAGGACUUCAUGAAGUGAAGUGACUUGUGGCCAAGUAUGGUGACCCAUACUCAGAAUUUGUGCUCUGCAUUUAACCCAUCCAAGUACACACACACACACACCCACACACCCGGAGCAGUGGGCAGCCUUUUUUUUUUUUUUUUUUUUUUUUGCUGCAGCACCCGGGGAGCAGUUGGGGGUUCAGUGCCUUGCUCAAGGGUCUCACCUCAGUAUUGAGGGUGGGAGAGAGCGCUGGUCAUUCACUCCCCCCCACCUACAAUCCCUGCCGGACCCGAGACUCGAACCCCCAACCUUCAGGUUCACCUUUGGGUAGUAAGUCCGACUUUCUAUCCAUAAGGCCACGACUGCCCCUCUUUUCCAGGGGAAAAGAGUGAAAGGUUUUAGACUGGCCAAGUCAUUCACCACCUGAAGCAGAGAAUGAAGGGAGAAACCCC
RNA transcript from Pangasianodon hypophthalmus (striped catfish), 5438 nucleotides. It is a transcript of the gene named putative ferric-chelate reductase 1, with no coding region annotated. Lineage: Eukaryota; Metazoa; Chordata; Actinopteri; Siluriformes; Pangasiidae. The transcript has 11 exons. The record is from RefSeq and is a predicted model, not a curated record.